GACGAACGCUGGCGGCGUGCCUAAUACAUGCAAGUAGAACGCUGAAGAGAGGAGCUUGCUCUUCUUGGAUGAGUUGCGAACGGGUGAGUAACGCGUAGGUAACCUGCCUGGUAGCGGGGGAUAACUAUUGGAAACGAUAGCUAAUACCGCAUAAAAUGGAUUAUCGCAUGAUAAUCCAUUGAAAGGUGCAAAUGCAUCACUACCAGAUGGACCUGCGUUGUAUUAGCUAGUUGGUGGGGUAACGGCUCACCAAGGCGACGAUACAUAGCCGACCUGAGAGGGUGAUCGGCCACACUGAGACUGAGACACGGCCCAGACUCCUACGGGAGGCAGCAGUAGGGAAUCUUCGGCAAUGGACGGAAGUCUGACCGAGCAACGCCGCGUGAGUGAAGAAGGUUUUCGGAUCGUAAAGCUCUGUUGUAAGAGAAGAACGAGUGUGAGAGUGGAAAGUUCACACUGUGACGGUAUCUUACCAGAAAGGGACGGCUAACUACGUG
Molecule: ribosomal RNA, 497 nt
Filed under: uncultured bacterium
Lineage: Bacteria
Description: partial 16S ribosomal RNA
Rfam family: Bacterial small subunit ribosomal RNA
Source: RNAcentral